Molecule: long non-coding RNA, 1966 nt
Filed under: Durio zibethinus
Lineage: Eukaryota; Viridiplantae; Streptophyta; Magnoliopsida; Malvales; Malvaceae
Description: long non-coding RNA (DZIB_LNC001349)
Source: RNAcentral
UUAAGUCAUCGUGUAUAUAUAUAUUUGCCCUUAUAAAAGAACAAUUUACUAUACUAUUGAAGUUAUAUUAACAUUCAUAGGUAAAAAGUCUCCAUGGCGUGGGAGAAGUGGGAAGUCUUGGUUUUUCCUUGAAGUUCUUCCCAGGGUUUUUGCUUUCCUUAAAACCUUUGGGUAGUUAGUUUUAUGUUUAAUUUUCGGUUGUUUUGAAAGAGUUGUGGUAGGUUUUUUUUAUAGUUCUAACGAUUAGAAGCAGCUUUGAAUGGCGGAUGAGUUGGACGAUCCAUGGAGGCAUCUCUUCUUUACGGAAGAAGAAUUAUUUGUUCAGCCAGAAGAGAGUAUUCUAGAGGAGGCAAGUGAUGAUGAAAAUAAAUGGAUGAUAGGAAAACUUCUAACGACAAGAUCCUUCAAUAAAGAAGCCAUGAUGAGCAUACUGAAAGGUAUUUAGAGGACUACCAAGGAGGUUGAGAUCAUGGUUCUGGAGGAUAACGCUUUUCUCUUCAAAUUCGCGUCAGAAGUGGAUAAAAACAGGGUGCUUGUCAGGGCCCCAUGGUCGUUCGAUAAGAACCUAUUUAAUGGAUUAUAAGGAAUCUAUGUCCUGCAAACUACAAUUUCCUCAAAGCCAGCUUCUGGAUUCGUAUUUAUGGCCUUUCUUUGGAUGUGAACUCCGGAAAUAGCAGUAUGUUUGGGAGAAAAACUAGGUGAGUUACUGAAGUAGACGCAGGACUAGAGGGAGGGGGUCGGUCCAAAUUUGAGAGAUUUCCAGUCAGCAUUGACAUUCGGAAGCCAUUAUGAAGGGCAGUUUUAAUUAAAGGGAAGAAGGACAAGACAUCCUAGGCAGAUCGAGGUACGAAUGUAUGCCCAAUUUCUGCUACAUCGGUGGUAGAAUUGGCCACCUUGACACGGAAUGUGAUAAAGAUCCUAAAACUGAUAAGGGUGGCAAAACAAACACACAGUAUGGGGACUGGAUGCGAGUGUCACGGGUCGAGACUCAAGCUCCGAACCCGCGCGGCUUCGGGACCCGGGCAUUCACCCUUUCGGCGUCCCAGAUCAGCCUUCCGCCACGGUUCACACCCUUGUGAGGUAUUGUCCGCUCUGGCCCCCCCUGGCCUCACGGUUUUGUCCUACAAAAGGCGCCUCACAAGGCGAAGGUGGUGUGAACCCUUUUAUAUCCCAGGGACCCUUCUAUUAUGUUCGAUGUGGGAUUUAGGACUCUUCCUUAGGUCCGUGACAUUCUUUCGCACCCAACCUCGUGACGCCCUCGUCACGGAGGCUGACCACCCUGCCUGCCUCCCUCGAGGUGCUUGGCGUGGAUCGAACGGUAUAGGGCUGGCUCUGACACCACUUGUCACGGGUCGAGACUCAAGCUCCGAACCCGCGAGGCUCCAGGACCCGGGCAUUCACCCUUCCGGCGUCCCAGAUCAGCCUUCCGCCACGGUUCACACCCUUGUGAUGUAUUGUCCGCUCUGACCCCCCCUGGCCUCACGGUUUUGUCCUACAAAAGGCGCCUCACAAGGCGAAGGUGGUGUGAACCCUUUUAUACCCCAGGGACCCUCCUAUUAUGUUCGAUGUGGGAUUUAGAACUCUUCCUUAGGUCCGUGACAUGAGCAUCCUCAUUGAAAGGAAAACCGACCAGAGGAAAGGGAUCAUCUUUCCUGGCGACGAAUCGAGCUAUAAUAGAGGGGGAGAGUAAAUCGGGAAAGGGUUUGAUGGGUGUGAUAAGGGAGAUUUCCUAGGGGCCAUCGCUGUAAAAGUGGACCGAGUUCUUGACCCUCUCAUCAUCGAAGCCUUUAGCUGAGACAAAGUGGAGCUUGCAAAAAUCCUGGUCUAGGAAGAAGUAUGUCUUGAAGAGGAUGCCAUAAGAGUGAUUAAUGGAUGUAAGGUGGGUGUCAAAGAUCUGUCUUAUGUUGGGAAAAUCUUGUCUGAAGUAAGGAAAACGGAAAGCUUAUUUAAGUUCUUCGCAGCGGAC